GGGGCCUUAGAAAUCACCUAAUCCAAUCACCUCAUUUUAAGGACUAGAAUGCUAGGAAACUUGAGACAAGGAGACCAGGACAUGGAAUACAUCUGAACAGUGAUGGUUUGUUGAGGUGGCACCUUCUUCCCCAUUUGCUGAAUGCCCUCUGCUCACGCCCUUCAUAUCUCUUGGUUAAAUCUGAGUUGAACAUCCCAACACUUCCUUGUAGAAGACAUCUUAAGAGAGAAAACAAAAUUAAAUGGUGAUUUCUUUCAAAGGAAGGCUGCAAGCUGUUCUGACUUAAAAAGCCAACACGACAGCAGCUUAUAAAGACACUGCUGCCACGCUGUGCAGUUCAAUCUCAAUAUCUUCUUCCACUUUCAAGAAGUGAGCAAUACACUAAGAAUGGUUUGAUACUUUUAUUUUUUUAACAUUAGAACAAUGAAAUUAAACAUGUGGCAAAGGACUACUCCAAUUUAUAAAAA
Molecule: non-coding RNA, 467 nt
Organism: Phascolarctos cinereus (koala)
Lineage: Eukaryota; Metazoa; Chordata; Mammalia; Diprotodontia; Phascolarctidae
Source: RefSeq, a predicted model, not a curated record